This 541-nucleotide ribosomal RNA is filed under the name uncultured bacterium. RNAcentral's name for it is "bacterial SSU rRNA". It matches the Rfam family "Bacterial small subunit ribosomal RNA", at positions 777 to 1318 of the family's 1533-position model. The record is from RNAcentral.
AAUAGAUACCCCGGUAGUCCAUGCCGUAAACGUUGGGCGCUAGAUGUGGGGACCAUUCCACGGUUUCCGUGUCGCAGCUAACGCAUUAAGCGCCCCGCCUGGGGAGUACGGCCGCAAGGCUAAAACUCAAAGGAAUUGACGGGGGCCCGCACAAGCGGCGGAGCAUGCGGAUUAAUUCGAUGCAACGCGAAGAACCUUACCAAGGCUUGACAUAUACGAGAACGCUCUAGAAAUAGAGAACUCUUUGGACACUCGUAUACAGGUGGUGCAUGGUUGUCGUCAGCUCGUGUCGUGAGAUGUUGGGUUAAGUCCCGCAACGAGCGCAACCCUCGUUCUAUGUUGCCAGCGGUUCGGCCGGGAACUCAUAGGAGACUGCCGGGGUCAACUCGGAGGGGGUGGGGAUGACGUCAAAUCAUCAUGCCCCUUAUGUCUUGGGCUCCACGCAUGCUACAAUGGCCGGUACAAAGGGCUGCAAUACCGUAAGGUGGAGCGAAUCCCAAAAAGCCGGUCUCAGUUCGGAUUGAGGUCUGCAACUCGACCU